UGCUUGGCAUUACCGGACUUUGAUGAUCGGAGAAACUGUAUUCCAGAACGACCGGUUCAACGCUCUGAGAGGCAAUGUAAGUCGUUCUUGUCUAAGCCUGUGGAUUGCAGUUCUUUUGGAUGUCCUUCUUUUGUUGCUCCGUCGCCACCUGUGGUGGUGCCAUCGCCGCCACCUGUGGUGGUCCCUUCUCCGCCACCUGUUGUUGUACCAACACCAUCGCCACCUGUUUACCCUCCACCGCCACCUAAAUCCGAGUCACAUCCCAUUUACCGACCACUCCCUCCGCCGCCGCCGCCGCCGCCAUCCCCAUCUCCCCCUCCCCCGCCUGUUUACUCCCUCCUCCACCUCCACCAUCCCCACCACCGCCGUCUCCACCUCCACCGUCCCCACCACCGCCAGUUUACUCUCCACCCCCACCUCCACCAUCUCCUCCACCGCCUUCUCCACCACCCCCAUCACCCCCACCGCCGCCCCCACCAGUUUACUCUCACCCCCACCUCCACCUUCACCGCCCCCGCCAUCUCCACCACCACCACCACCUCCGGUUUACUCUCCACCACCACCUCCACCCUCUCCUCCCCCGCCAUCUCCUCCCCCACCAUCGCCGCCGCCACCGGCACCGGUGUAUUGCGUCCGACCAUCACCCCCACCUCCACCACCAAACUCUCCCCCACCUCCUCCUCCCUUGUUCUCUCCACCCCCACCUGUUUACUACUACAAUUCACCGCCACCUCCCAACUCUCCACCACCCCCACCAAUGUACUCUCCUCCACCACCGCCACACUCGCCGCCUCCUCCUCCACAUUCACCACCACCACCAAUCUAUCCUUACUUAUCUCCUCCACCUCCUCCACCUGUCUAUUCUCCACCUCCCCCUCCACCGGUCUAUUCACCGCCUCCCCCACCGCCGUGUAUAGAACCACCCCCACCUCCUCCGCCGCCGUGUAUAGAAUAUCAUGAACCCCCCCACCAC
Molecule: long non-coding RNA, 973 nt
Filed under: Cucumis sativus (cucumber)
Lineage: Eukaryota; Viridiplantae; Streptophyta; Magnoliopsida; Cucurbitales; Cucurbitaceae
Description: long non-coding RNA (CSAT_LNC000479)
Source: RNAcentral